GGAGUUAAGAAAUGUAAGUGCGCUAAUAUCGCAUUUAUUUGACGAAGGCUCCAAAGGAAGCCACGGCUAACUCUGUGCCAGCAGCCGCGGUAAUACAGAGGUGGCAAGCGUUGUUCGGAAUUAUUGGGCGUAAAGAGCACGUAGGUGGGUUUGUAAGUCAGAUGUGAAAGCCUUCUGUUCAACGGAAGAAUUGCAUCUGAAACUGCAGGUCUUGAGUGUAGGAGGGGAGAG
This 231-nucleotide ribosomal RNA is filed under the name uncultured Planctomycetales bacterium. RNAcentral's name for it is "partial 16S ribosomal RNA". It matches the Rfam family "Bacterial small subunit ribosomal RNA", at positions 439 to 661 of the family's 1533-position model. Lineage: Bacteria; Pseudomonadati; Planctomycetota; Planctomycetia; Planctomycetales. The record is from RNAcentral.